Molecule: ribosomal RNA, 1332 nt
Filed under: metagenome
Description: bacterial SSU rRNA
Rfam family: Archaeal small subunit ribosomal RNA
Source: RNAcentral
UGCCCUUAGGUCUGGGACAACAUCGAGAAAUUGAUGCUAAACCCGGAUAGAAGAUUAAUACUGGAAUGUUUUUUCUUCGAAAGGUAACGCCUAAGGAUGAGUCGGCGGCUGAUUAGGUUGUUGGUGAGGUAAUGGCUCACCAAGCCUAUGAUCAGUAGGGGGGAUGAGAGUCCUAGCCCCGAGAAGGGCACUGAGAUACUGGCCCUAGCCCUAAGGGGUGCAGCAGGCGCGAAAACUUUACAAUGCACGAAAGUGUGAUAAGGGGAUCCCAAGUGCUUUGUCUUCGGAUAAAGCUUUUGCUAAGUCUAAACAGCUUGGCGAAUAAGUGGUGGGUAAGACGGGUGCCAGCCGCCGCGGUAACACCCGCGCCACAAGUGGCAAUCACUUUUAUUGGGUCUAAAGCGUCCGCAGCCGGUUUGAUAAGUCUCUUGUGAAAUUGUUAGGCUUAACUUAACAGCAUGCAAGGGAAACUAUCAGACUUGAGACUGGGAGGAGGUAGAGGUAUUCCGAGGGUAGCGGUAAAAUGUUAUAAUCCUCGGAGGACCACCAGUGGCGGAGGCGUCUACCUAGAACAGGUCUGACGGUGAGGGACGAAGGCCAGGGGAGCAAAACGGAUUAGAUACCCGAGUAGUCCUGGCAGUAAACGCUGUGAGCUAUGUGUUGCACAAUCUUAGUGAUCGUGCAGUGCCUAAGCGAAGGUGUUAAGCUCACCACCUGGGAAGUACAGUCGCAAGACCGAAACUUAAAGGAAUUGGCGGGGGCUCACUACAAGGGGUGAAGAGUGCGGUUCAAUUGGAGUCCACGCCGGAAAUCUCACCAGGGGCGACGGUAUGAUGAAGGUCAAAUUAAAGGUUUUACCUGAAGCACCGAGAGGUGGUGCAUGGCCGACGCCAGCUCGUGCCGUGAGGUGUCACGUUAAGUCGUGCAACGAGCAAGACCCAUAUCCGCUUUUACCAGCAGAUACUACGGUAUGACUGGGUACAAUGCGGAGACUGCCUUCGUAAGGAGGAGGAAGGCGUGGGCAACGUUAGGUCCGUAUGCCCCGAAUCUCCUGGGCUACACGCGCUCUGCAAUGGUGGAGACAAUAGGAUGCAACUCCGAAAGGAGAAGCAAACCCUCUAAACUCCAUCUUAGUCUGGAUUGAGGGUUGCAAUUCACCCUCAUGAAACCGGAAUCCCUAGUAAUCGGACUUCAUUACGGUCCGGUGAAUAACGUCCCUGAGCCUUGCACACACUGCCCGUCAAACCAACCGAGCAUGGCUUAGAUGAGAUAUGGUUUUUUUGAUCAUGUCGAAUCUGAGUUAAGUAAGGUGGGUUAAGUCGUCACAAGGUA